RNAcentral lists this signal recognition particle RNA (263 nucleotides) under Candidatus Micrarchaeum sp. AZ1. Its description in RNAcentral is "Archaeal signal recognition particle RNA". It matches the Rfam family "Bacterial large signal recognition particle RNA". Rfam says of the family: The signal recognition particle (SRP) is a universally conserved ribonucleoprotein involved in the co-translational targeting of proteins to membranes. Archaeal SRP consists of a 7S RNA and homologues of the eukaryotic SRP19 and SRP54 proteins. Lineage: Archaea; Nanobdellati; Microcaldota; Candidatus Micrarchaeia; Candidatus Micrarchaeales; Candidatus Micrarchaeaceae. RNAcentral also lists the same sequence under 2 other names. The record is from Rfam by way of RNAcentral.
UUGGCGGAUAGGCUGGGAAGCUAAGGGUUUCCCGUUCGCAAAUCCCUUUCUGGCGGGCCAAUGCCGGUUGCGUUAUGCAAGCGGCUUUUGCGCCCAGAUGGAAGCGUUGAUGCCUUGCCCCAGGUGGUAGCUUGGUGCGUGAACCAGGCCAGGCCGGAAGGAGCAACCUUAAGCACAUUCAGGCUACGCUCCCGGGAUACGGGGCUGAGCUGAAGUAUGGUCAACGCAACUGCUGCUUGCAUGGCAAGGCCGGCUUCCGCCGC